AAUGAACGCUGGCGGCGUGGUUAAGACAUGCAAGUCGAACGGUUUUCCUGAUGUAGCAAUGCAUCGGGAAAGCAGUGGCGAACGGGUGCGUAACACGUGAACAAUUUACCUCCAAGUGGGGAAUAGCUCGCCGAAAGGCGAAUUAAUACCGCAUACGGUAAUUUCUCGCAUGAGGAAUUCACCAAAGUCAGGGACCGCAAGGCCUGACGCUAGGAGAGGAGUUCGCGGCCUACAGCUAGUUGGCGGGGUAACGGCUCACCAAGGCGAUGAUCGGUAGCCGGCCUGAGAGGGUGUCCGGCCACACUGGGACUGAGACACUGCCCAGACUCCUACGGGAGGCUGCAGUCGCGAAUCAUUCACAAUGGGCGCAAGCCUGAUGAUGCCACGCCGCGU
Molecule: ribosomal RNA, 393 nt
Filed under: uncultured bacterium
Lineage: Bacteria
Description: bacterial SSU rRNA
Rfam family: Bacterial small subunit ribosomal RNA
Source: RNAcentral